Molecule: ribosomal RNA, 652 nt
Filed under: Agrobacterium pusense
Lineage: Bacteria; Pseudomonadati; Pseudomonadota; Alphaproteobacteria; Hyphomicrobiales; Rhizobiaceae
Description: bacterial SSU rRNA
Rfam family: Bacterial small subunit ribosomal RNA
Source: RNAcentral
UGCAAGUCGAACGCCCCGCAAGGGGAGUGGCAGACGGGUGAGUAACGCGUGGGAACAUACCCUUUCCUGCGGAAUAGCUCCGGGAAACUGGAAUUAAUACCGCAUACGCCCUACGGGGGAAAGAUUUAUCGGGGAAGGAUUGGCCCGCGUUGGAUUAGCUAGUUGGUGGGGUAAAGGCCUACCAAGGCGACGAUCCAUAGCUGGUCUGAGAGGAUGAUCAGCCACAUUGGGACUGAGACACGGCCCAAACUCCUACGGGAGGCAGCAGUGGGGAAUAUUGGACAAUGGGCGCAAGCCUGAUCCAGCCAUGCCGCGUGAGUGAUGAAGGCCUUAGGGUUGUAAAGCUCUUUCACCGAUGAAGAUAAUGACGGUAGUCGGAGAAGAAGCCCCGGCUAACUUCGUGCCAGCAGCCGCGGUAAUACGAAGGGGGCUAGCGUUGUUCGGAAUUACUGGGCGUAAAGCGCACGUAGGCGGAUAUUUAAGUCAGGGGUGAAAUCCCGCAGCUCAACUGCGGAACUGCCUUUGAUACUGGGUAUCUUGAGUAUGGAAGAGGUAAGUGGAAUUCCGAGUGUAGAGGUGAAAUUCGUAGAUAUUCGGAGGAACACCAGUGGCGAAGGCGGCUUACUGGUCCAUUACUGACGCUGAGGUGCGA